This 377-nucleotide unclassified non-coding RNA is filed under the name uncultured Oligoflexaceae bacterium. RNAcentral's name for it is "contains 16S-23S intergenic spacer region". The record is from RNAcentral. Lineage: Bacteria; Pseudomonadati; Bdellovibrionota; Oligoflexia; Oligoflexales; Oligoflexaceae.
UCCGAUUUAACAUCGGCAGUCUCCCUAGAGUCCCCAACUUAAUGAUGGUAACUAAGGACAGGGGUUGCGCUCGUUGCCGGACUUAACCGAACAUUUCACAACACGAGCUGACGACAGCCAUGCAGCACCUGUCUCCGUGUCCCCGAAGGGAAAACGACAUCUCUGCCGCGGUCACGGGAUGUCAAGACCAGGUAAGGUUCUGCGCGUUGCUUCGAAUUAAACCACAUACUCCACCGCUUGUGCGGGCCCCCGUCAAUUCCUUUGAGUUUUAGUCUUGCGACCGUACUUCCCAGGCGGGACACUUAAUGUGUGAACUUUGGUACUCAGAGGGUUAACUCUCCGAACACCGAGUGUCCAUCGUUUACAGCGUGGACUAC